AGAGAGAUGGCUCAGCGGUUAAAAGCACUGACUGAUCUUCCAGAGGUCCUAAGUUCAAUUCACAGUAACUCCA
This 73-nucleotide transfer RNA is filed under the name Mus musculus (house mouse). RNAcentral describes it as "tRNA-Ile". Lineage: Eukaryota; Metazoa; Chordata; Mammalia; Rodentia; Muridae. The record is from RNAcentral.